RNAcentral lists this ribosomal RNA (425 nucleotides) under uncultured bacterium. RNAcentral describes it as "bacterial SSU rRNA". It matches the Rfam family "Bacterial small subunit ribosomal RNA", at positions 29 to 506 of the family's 1533-position model. The record is from RNAcentral.
AUGAAUGCUGGCGGCGUGCCUAAUACAUGCAAGUCGAACGGGUUUAGACCCGUGGCGAACUGGUGAGUAACGCGUGGGUAGCUGCUCCGAAGUCGGGGAUAACCAGCCGAAAGGUUGGCUAACACUCGAUAGUCCCGCAAGGGUAACGUUUACGCUUCGGAAGGCGCCUGCGCCCUAUCAGCUUGUUGGUGAGGUAAUGGCUCACCAAGGCGAUGACGGGUAGCCGGUCUGAGAGGAUGAUCGGCCACAGUGGAACUGAGACACGGUCCACACUCCUACGGGAGGCAGCAGUAGGGAAUUGUCGGCAAUGGGCGAAAGCCUGACCGCGCGACGCCGCGUGAAGGAAGAAGGCCUUCGGGUUGUAAACUUCUUUUAUGAGGGAAGAUUAUGACGGUACCUCAUGAAUAAGGGCCUGCUAACUACGU